CAUAAUCUCAUCUAUACAACAGAUUUCUGCAGACAUAAUGUGAGGAGCGUUUAUCGGAUCUUACACUGAUUGGCUGGAGGCUGCAGGAUGCUGACUAAUCAGAGCAGACGUGCGCUUCUCCUAGCAACAGCUGAGGAUGAAGGGAGAGAUGCAGAUGAACAGAUAAAUGUACCCACACUUCUGCCGAAUGCGUAUGCUUGGCUUGUACAGUGAACACCUGGGAUGAUCCCAUGACAGGAAGUGAUGUCAUCGAGGGUGAGAAUCUCCAGGACACACGGCCGAUGAUUCUGAAAUAAUGGACACACAGAAGAAAACAUGAAGAAACUGUAGAGUUACUGUAGAACACACUUUAUGUUUCAUCUUCUACAGAAGCCAGAAGUCUGGGCAUUUGACGCAGGUCAGAUUCAAACCCAGACCGCGAGAACAGCUGUGAUCAGCUUUGCUAAUCGCUCAGCCCGUGACAUUACCUGAAUGGGUCUGGAGAGCCCGAAGACUCCUGGAUCCAGGC
Molecule: long non-coding RNA, 508 nt
Organism: Cyprinus carpio (common carp)
Lineage: Eukaryota; Metazoa; Chordata; Actinopteri; Cypriniformes; Cyprinidae
Exons: 4
Source: RefSeq, a predicted model, not a curated record